Molecule: long non-coding RNA, 818 nt
Organism: Parus major (Great Tit)
Lineage: Eukaryota; Metazoa; Chordata; Aves; Passeriformes; Paridae
Exons: 2
Source: RefSeq, a predicted model, not a curated record
GGUUGUGAGGUGACAGCUCUGUGCACCUUGCUUCAGUUGAGAGAAUUGUGGUGUAGGUUGGAAAGGACCCUAAAGCCCAUCCAGUUCUUACUCUUAUCCACAAGAAAAACCUAAAUUUCAUGAGAUUCAGCUCUUGAUUUAAUGGUUCUGAGGUGGCAGCUCUGUGCCCCCUUGCUCCAUCUGAGAGAAGAAUUGUGGGGUGGGGUGGAAGUGACCUUAAAGCCCACCCAGUUCUGACCCUCAGCCCCAAGAAAAAACCAAAUUUAAUCAGAUUACGCUCUUGAUUUAAUUGCUGAGAAGCGCUUGGGGUCUCUGCGAGCUCUUGCCCCUCACCCAGGGAAUGUUAAACCUCCACAACCCCGAGUUUUCCAUUAAUCCAACACCGCCCUACAAAGCAAGAAGUGAUUUUUUUCCCCAUCCCCGCUGCCUGCAGCUGUUUCCAGCUGUUUCCUUGCGCUCCUUUCCGUGCCCAAAUCCGAGGAUUCGCGUUGGAAGAUUUUCCGGGAGCUGUUGAUUCAUUCCGUGGGCACCGCUCGCCUCCGCAGCGCCGGGGGUUGCAGCAAACGCUGCGUUUUGUUACCGUGUCACCUCUGAGGAGCCACCACGUCCCUGCUCGCUUCCAAACAUCCCCAAAAUUCCCGGCUGGAGGGAAUUCCAUGAAAUGAGGUCCAGCCCGGAAAUAAAAACGCCGGAGGCUGUUUGUGCGAGUCCCAGCCGAGGUGUGAGACUCCAGGGGCUUGGAAUGAGCAGCCAGGGAGGAAAAGAAGGAGUGAAAACUAAAAAGAGGAGAGAAAACUAAAAUAAACUUGAAAUAUUUC